This 411-nucleotide unclassified non-coding RNA is filed under the name soil metagenome. RNAcentral's name for it is "partial contains 5.8S ribosomal RNA, internal transcribed spacer 2, and large subunit ribosomal RNA". The stretch from base 1 to 122 matches the Rfam family "5.8S ribosomal RNA", at positions 35 to 154 of the family's 154-position model. The record is from RNAcentral.
GAUGAAGAACGUAGCGAAAUGCGAUACUUGGUGUGAAUUGCAGAAUCCCGUGAACCAUCGAGUCUUUGAACGCAAGUUGCGCCCGAAGCCGUCAGGCCGAGGGCACGCCUGCCUGGGCGUCACACGCCGUUGCCCCCCCGCGCCCCGCACCCAACUCUUUGGGAGCGACCGCGGGGCGGGCUGAUGAUGGCCUCCCGUGCGCUCCGCCGCGCGGUUGGCCCAAAUACCGAGUCCCCGGCGACGUGCGCCACGACGAUCGGUGGUUGAGAGACCUCUGUCGCAAGUCGUGCGCGCCCGUCGCGUCACGCGGGCUCGCAUAGCGCCUCGCGCCGCACCCGGUGCGGAGCUUUCAACGCGACCCCAGGGCAGGCGGGGUUACCCGCUGAAUUUAAGCAUAUCAUAAGCGGAGGA